GUAAACGAUGUCGACUUGGAGGUUGUGCCCUUGAGGCGUGGCUUCCGGAGCUAACGCGUUAAGUCGACCGCCUGGGGAGUACGGCCGCAAGGUUAAAACUCAAAUGAAUUGACGGGGGCCCGCACAAGCGGUGGAGCAUGUGGUUUAAUUCGAUGCAACGCGAAGAACCUUACCUGGUCUUGACAUCCACGGAAGUUUUCAGAGAUGAGAAUGUGCCUUCGGGAACCGUGAGACAGGUGCUGCAUGGCUGUCGUCAGCUCGUGUUGUGAAAUGUUGGGUUAAGUCCCGCAACGAGCGCAACCCUUAUCCUUUGUUGCCAGCGGUCCGGCCGGGAACUCAAAGGAGACUGCCAGUGAUAAACUGGAGGAAGGUGGGGAUGACGUCAAGUCAUCAUGGCCCUUACGACCAGGGCUACACACGUGCUACAAUGGCGCAUACAAAGAGAAGCGACCUCGCGAGAGCAAGCGGACCUCAUAAAGUGCGUCGUAGUCCGGAUUGGAGUCUGCAACUCGACUCCAUGAAGUCGGAAUCGCUAGUAAUCGUGGAUCAGAAUGCCACGGUGAAUACGUUCCCGGGCCUUGUACACACCGCCCGUCACACCAUGGGAGUGGGUUGCAAAAGAAGUAGGUAGCUUAACCUUCGGGAGGGCGCUUACCACUUUGUGAUUCAUGACUGGGGUGAAGUCGUAACAAGGUAACCGUAGGGGAACCUGCGGUUGGAUCACCUCCUUACCUUAAAGAAGC
This 743-nucleotide ribosomal RNA is filed under the name Shigella flexneri. Its description in RNAcentral is "bacterial SSU rRNA". It matches the Rfam family "Bacterial small subunit ribosomal RNA", at positions 802 to 1533 of the family's 1533-position model. The record is from RNAcentral. Lineage: Bacteria; Pseudomonadati; Pseudomonadota; Gammaproteobacteria; Enterobacterales; Enterobacteriaceae.